CGAGUGGCGAACGGGUGAGUAACGCGUGAGGAACCUGCCUCAAAGAGGGGGACAACAGUUGGAAACGACUGCUAAUACCGCAUAAGCCCACGACCCGGCAUCGGGUAGAGGGAAAAGGAGCAAUCCGCUUUGAGAUGGCCUCGCGUCCGAUUAGCUAGUUGGUGAGGUAACGGCCCACCAAGGCGACGAUCGGUAGCCGGACUGAGAGGUUGAACGGCCACAUUGGGACUGAGACACGGCCCAG
This 244-nucleotide ribosomal RNA is filed under the name uncultured bacterium. Its description in RNAcentral is "partial 16S ribosomal RNA". It matches the Rfam family "Bacterial small subunit ribosomal RNA", at positions 92 to 334 of the family's 1533-position model. The record is from RNAcentral.